AUUGAACGCUGGCGGCAGGCCUAACACAUGCAAGUCGAGCGCGAAAGUCUUCGGAUGAGUAAAGCGGCGAACGGGUGAGUAAUGCAUGGGAAUCUGCCUGGUAGUGGGGGACAACGUCUCGAAAGGGACGCUAAUACCGCAUACGCCCUACGGGGGAAAGGGGGGGACCUUCGGACCUCUCGCUAUCAGAUGAGCCCAUGUCAGAUUAGCUAGUUGGUAGGGUAAAGGCCUACCAAGGCGACGAUCUGUAACUGGUCUGAGAGGAUGAUCAGUCACACUGGAACUGAGACACGGUCCAGACUCCUACGGGA
Molecule: ribosomal RNA, 311 nt
Filed under: uncultured bacterium
Lineage: Bacteria
Description: bacterial SSU rRNA
Rfam family: Bacterial small subunit ribosomal RNA
Source: RNAcentral